Molecule: ribosomal RNA, 429 nt
Filed under: bacterium
Lineage: Bacteria
Description: partial 16S ribosomal RNA
Rfam family: Bacterial small subunit ribosomal RNA
Source: RNAcentral
UAGGGAAUCUUCGGCAAUGGGGGCAACCCUGACCGAGCAACGCCGCGUGAGUGAAGAAGGUUUUCGGAUCGUAAAGCUCUGUUGUAAGAGAAGAACGUGUGUGAGAGUGGAAAGUUCACACAGUGACGGUAACUUACCAGAAAGGGACGGCUAACUACGUGCCAGCAGCCGCGGUAAUACGUAGGUCCCGAGCGUUGUCCGGAUUUAUUGGGCGUAAAGCGAGCGCAGGCGGUUUAAUAAGUCUGAAGUUAAAGGCAGUGGCUUAACCAUUGUUCGCUUUGGAAACUGUUAGACUUGAGUGCAGAAGGGGAGAGUGGAAUUCCAUGUGUAGCGGUGAAAUGCGUAGAUAUAUGGAGGAGCACCGGUGGCGAAAGCGGCUCUCUGGUCUGUAACUGACGCUGAGGCUCGAAAGCGUGGGGAGCAAACAGG